This 494-nucleotide ribosomal RNA is filed under the name uncultured bacterium. RNAcentral's name for it is "partial 16S ribosomal RNA". It matches the Rfam family "Bacterial small subunit ribosomal RNA", at positions 28 to 507 of the family's 1533-position model. The record is from RNAcentral.
GACGAACGCUGGCGGCGUGCUUAACACAUGCAAGUCGAACGGAAAGGCCUGCUUUCCCUUGUGGAUUGCGGGUACUCGAGUGGCGAACGGGUGAGUAACACGUGAGUGAUCUGCCCCCAACUUGGGUAUAAGCCUGGGAAACUGGGUCUAAUUCCCGAUAGGACUGCAGGGUGGUGCCUGUGGUGGAAAACGAUUUUCUAGUGGUUGGGGAUGAGCUCGCGGCCUAUCAGCUUGUUGGUGGGGUAAUGGCCUACCAAGGCGGCGACGGGUAGCCGGCCUGAGAGGGUGGACGGCCACAUUGGGACUGAGAUACGGCCCAGACUCCUACGGGAGGCAGCAGUGGGGAAUAUUGCACAAUGGGCGGAAGCCUGAUGCAGCGACGCCGCGUGGGGGAUGACGGCCUUCGGGUUGAAAACUCCUUUCGACCGCGAGGAAGCCACCUGGUUGGAAGGGUGGUGACGGUAGUGGUAGAAGAAGCACCGGCUAACUACGUG